Long non-coding RNA from Erpetoichthys calabaricus (reedfish), 1545 nucleotides. RefSeq lists it as uncharacterized. The transcript is spliced from 3 exons. Lineage: Eukaryota; Metazoa; Chordata; Cladistia; Polypteriformes; Polypteridae. The record is from RefSeq and is a predicted model, not a curated record.
AUAUUGCUGCAGACCGGAGACAUUAUGGGUGGAUCUGAAGGCGGGAUAACUGUAAAUGCAAGUGGAUAGUAUUGGCUAAUUCAGAAUUUCAACGAAUGAGAUUGUUGUUCCUCUAGGACAAUCAAAAACUCACCUGUCCAAUUAUCAACGUUUGAAGUUGUCUAUCAAGUGUAACUUUAACCAAACGUUUCACAGUUCGUGAUCCCUACCGCUUUGAGGUUCCGCCUUAUACAGUUAUCUCUUAAAUAGCCUGCCGUUUUACCAAGCGACGAAACUCCAUUAAACAAAAAGAGACAAAAAAAAAAAAAGCUGCGGUGAUGAAACUCCAUUAGACAAAAGAAGAAGAAGCGACGAAACUAAUUGCUCGUAUUUUUGACAAUGGAAGUAAGUGUGCUUCGAAAUGAAAACGUCUGAAAGUUGCAGUUUUUUUCGUAUUUUUAAUAGCUUUGUUUUGCAUGGUUAUGUUUGUACCGUGGACCUUUACGUUUGUAUUAAUAAUAAUUUUCGCUGUAGUAAUUGAUUUAUAUUCAGUGCUUGAAAUGGAUCGGCACUCAGCGGUACCGGCAACUCUUCAAAUUCUACAAGGUAAGUUUCACGAGAACUCCUCGACUGUGCAUGGAAGACGAAAAAAAACUUUUACAAGCAUCUAGGAAACGCUUGAUCAGCUUUUCUGUCGUGAAGUAGGCUUUUGAUAAAGCUCAGAUUGACUGCAGUGGUGCACGAUAUUACCUUUUUUUCUUUUCAGUUUAGUUCCUUAUGUUCGAGUAAUGUGUCUAAAUUGUAAUACCAAAUAAUCUGCGAUGUUUUUGUACCGUCAAUUUUAAUAGAAUUUCAUGGUAGUUUUGUGCAGAUGAUGCCUGCUAUUUCUAAACUGUUAAAAGACUUUCCUGCAAUGGGCAGUGCGCCUCUAAAUUAUACGUGAGUCAGACUGACAGUCGCGAUGUGCACAGAGCCUUUUCAAUUUAUUUACAAGUAACAUUUAUAAUUUUUUUCCUUUCAGCCUGCUUGCUACAAGAAUAUUUUCUGGAAAUUGGAUGCUGAUGAAAAAUAAAGUAAAUUGUAAACACCCAUUUCUUAAAAUUAUAAUUCACUUGUAGUGUUCGACUUUCACGUGUGUCUUUAUUUCUUUCCUUCUUUUCCUAGGACAUCCCUACUGGUUCAGUAGACUGUGGAGUAGACAUGUUGAUGUGGCUAUGUGGCUGCAGAAGGGCAGCUGACUCGAGAACAAGGGGCUCAGGUUUAUGAGGCUGCAGAGAUCAGCAGGGUCUCCAGGAGGACUCAACAUAAAAACUGUUGGAGUUCAUCAUAAAAAGCCAUGGAGCAGAUGACCACUUGCUGGCUGUUGUAUCUGAAAAGGUGUCAUCCAAAUGGUUUAAAAACGAUGAAGAUCCUAAAGGUCACCAGGUAAUGACCUCUAUACAGUAGAAGAUGAGGAGCUGACAGAUGUCCUCCACAACUACCUGAUGAAGUGCUGUCAAGAGCUGUAGGUACCUUUGAAAAGAUUAACAGAGUUCACAUCAUUCUGGAUGUGCUGAUUUGGCUUUA